UACGGAAGGCAGCAGUGGGGAAUAUUGCACAAUGGGCGCAAGCCUGAUGCAGCCAUGCCGCGUGUAUGAAGAAGGCCUUCGGGUUGUAAAGUACUUUCAGUCGUGAGGAAGGUGUUAAGGUUAAUAACCUUAGCAAUUGACGUUAGCGACAGAAGAAGCACCGGCUAACUCCGUGCCAGCAGCCGCGGUAAUACGGAGGGUGCGAGCGUUAAUCGGAAUUACUGGGCGUAAAGGGCACGCAGGCGGUUAAUUAAGUUGGAUGUGAAAUCCCCGGGCUUAACCUGGGAAUGGCAUUCAAGACUGGUUAGCUAGAGUCUUGUAGAGGGGGUAGAAUUCCAUGUGUAGCGGUGAAAUGCGUAGAGAUGUGGAGGAAUACCGGUGGCGAAGGCGGCCCCUGGGACAAAGACUGACGCUCAUGUGCGAAAAGCGUGGGGAGCAAACAGGGAUUAGAUACC
RNAcentral lists this ribosomal RNA (455 nucleotides) under uncultured bacterium. Its description in RNAcentral is "bacterial SSU rRNA". It matches the Rfam family "Bacterial small subunit ribosomal RNA", at positions 340 to 786 of the family's 1533-position model. The record is from RNAcentral.